RNAcentral lists this ribosomal RNA (253 nucleotides) under uncultured bacterium. RNAcentral's name for it is "partial 16S ribosomal RNA". It matches the Rfam family "Bacterial small subunit ribosomal RNA", at positions 524 to 776 of the family's 1533-position model. The record is from RNAcentral.
UACAGAGGGCUCAAGCGUUGUUCGGAUUCAUUGGGCGUAAAGGGUGCGUAGGCGGCGCGGUAAGUCGGGUGUGAAAUUUCGGAGCUUAACUCCGAAACUGCAUUCGAUACUGCCGUGCUUGAGGACUGGAGAGGAGACUGGAAUUUACGGUGUAGCAGUGAAAUGCGUAGAGAUCGUAAGGAAGACCAGUGGCGAAGGCGGGUCUCUGGACAGUUCCUGACACUGAGGCACGAAGGCCAGGGGAGCAAACGGG